CCUAUGGGAGGCAGCAGUAGGGAAUCUUCCACAAUGGACGCAAGUCUGAUGGAGCAACGCCGCGUGAGUGAAGAAGGUUUUCGGAUCGUAAAGCUCUGUUGUUGGUGAAGAAGGAUAGAGGUAGUAACUGGCCUUUAUUUGACGGUAAUCAACCAGAAAGUCACGGCUAACUACGUGCCAGCAGCCGCGGUAAUACGUAGGUGGCAAGCGUUGUCCGGAUUUAUUGGGCGUAAAGCGAGCGCAGGCGGAAGAAUAAGUCUGAUGUGAAAGCCCUCGGCUUAACCGAGGAACUGCAUCGGAAACUGUUUUUCUUGAGUGCAGAAGAGGAGAGUGGAACUCCAUGUGUAGCGGUGGAAUGCGUAGAUAUAUGGAAGAACACCAGUGGCGAAGGCGGCUCUCUGGUCUGCAACUGACGCUGAGGCUCGAAAGCAUGGGUAGCGAACAGGAUUAGAUACCCGGGUAGUCC
This 466-nucleotide ribosomal RNA is filed under the name Klebsiella pneumoniae subsp. pneumoniae. Its description in RNAcentral is "bacterial SSU rRNA". It matches the Rfam family "Bacterial small subunit ribosomal RNA", at positions 338 to 796 of the family's 1533-position model. Lineage: Bacteria; Pseudomonadati; Pseudomonadota; Gammaproteobacteria; Enterobacterales; Enterobacteriaceae. The record is from RNAcentral.